CAGAAUAUAGUUAAAUUAUAAUAUAAAUUUUGGGUAUUUACGUUUUCAGUUAGAAUAUUCUGA
This 63-nucleotide transfer RNA is filed under the name Dinobdella ferox. RNAcentral describes it as "tRNA-Pro". Lineage: Eukaryota; Metazoa; Annelida; Clitellata; Hirudinida; Hirudinidae. The record is from RNAcentral.